UGCUCAUAAUGCGCUCUUGAAUAGAAUAUUUUGCAAUUAAAAUCCCUUUGAAUUUGUGUUGACCGACUUUGUAAUUGGUUUACACUUGUGAACUUUGGGAUCAACGUGUGCUUAAGACAGUUUGGGGUAUGUGGAAUGAAACGUAUACAAAUUUUAAAUGUUAAUUAACUCGUUGCUUUUUUAUAGGGGACCACAGAUGACCAUUUAGCCAAUUGAAAAUAUCUUCUAUGGAACUCGAGCUGAACAAAGUGAAAACAAUUCUAUUUGCAAUUCAUAUCAACAGUUCAGAUAACUACAAACAGUUGCUGGUACCUCAUCACAUCACUAGUACACUGUCCUGUAACGCAUAGAGCACCAGUAAUCCCGAUUAAAAUUGGUGUUCAUCUGCUUCUUUGUAUCAAAUAAGUAAUCAAUUUUUCCGGCAAUUCAGUAAGCUAAAAGCAAUUCCGCAAAGUGGUUAUACAGAGUGGUGCAGAUCUUAAUAGCAAUGCGAGCUGUAGUAAUGUGGCCAGCGGAAAUCAAAGUACUCAUAGUGAAAAAAAAUAGUAUAUAUACCGCAUGGCCAUGGUAGAGAAGUCUAUUAUUGCCUUCGCACCUUACACCGCUCAGCGCAAGCGCAUCGGGAUUAUAAACUGUGCUCGGGCAAUAAUACUAGACUUCCCUACCUUGUUAUAUACUUUACUAGUUUCUAUGUCGUUUUGCUGUGCGUGAAAAAAAUAUAAUGGGAUUAAUAGGUAUGACAUUAAAAGAAAAUUGAAUAUAAUAAUAAAAAACUA
Long non-coding RNA from Photinus pyralis (common eastern firefly), 776 nucleotides. RefSeq lists it as uncharacterized. The record is from RefSeq and is a predicted model, not a curated record. The transcript is spliced from 3 exons. NCBI's taxonomy places the organism in Eukaryota, Metazoa, Arthropoda, Insecta, Coleoptera, Lampyridae.